UCAAUCCAUGUGGAAGGGAGAGAAGUUUGCAGCACAAGGGCCAGUCAUCAUUUUCAUCAUGUUAUCAAGAGCACAAACGGUGACUCACAAGCAAUUUUAUUUGGAGGCAGUAUUGGAAUCUAUUUGAACAAGGACUGGAAGACCACUUGUCCAAAUUCAGAAUCAUCGGAUUGUUGAGAAACUGCAUAGUGCGAGGUAAACGUGUGACAUGCGGACCAGGUUACUGCUUUGCAACUGUCUCAUACACAUGAGCCAGGCCACUUGGGCUCUAAUUGAAUGACCUAAUAUUCUAUCUAACGGCUCCACAGUAGCCAAGCGGUAACAUGAGCAAAUACAACUGGACAUCCACGCUAAAAUCCUCCGUGUAGAAAUUAGGCUGCCGUUCAUGCUGUCCACAAAUGCAAUAACAACUGAAAUGAAGAUCUGAAAGGUUUAGUCUGUUCCACAUAAAACACUGAUGCUCUUCCAACAUCUAGAGUCUGCAAUAGCUCUUCUCCCUUGUUACCAUGAGUCUUUGGAAGGAAGGUCGGUACCAAAAUAGUCCAGCAUAUGCUGAAUAGAACCAAGACAGGGGAGACACCUUUCAGCCUUGACCAGACAGAAAACCUUUUCCACUUAGCGAGAUAUUUACAGUAAAUUCAGUGCUGAUGAGAAUGCUGGAUUGACAGUGCUGCACACCAAAGCCCUCUUUUUAUCCAUAGACCAGGUACAACACACUUCCUCACCAAUGUGCUUCAUGCAUGUCCUUCUGGGACCAUCUCUAUGGGAUUGAGUCAUUCAAUCCCUAGCCUUCCUGCUGAGAUGGCCAACAGAAGAACCAAAAGGAGGCUUAGAUGAGAUGUUUUUAUAUUACGGAUAGGAACUGUUAAUAAACAUAAUGAUUCUAAUGAUUCCGACAAUAGUCACAGUUAUUAAC
Molecule: non-coding RNA, 916 nt
Organism: Caretta caretta (loggerhead turtle)
Lineage: Eukaryota; Metazoa; Chordata; Testudines; Cheloniidae
Source: RefSeq, a predicted model, not a curated record